CUCAGGGCCAGGGCCCGCCUCCAGGGGGCGGUGUGCGCCCCCGGCGCUGGAGCAGCCGCGUUUCGGGGACCCGGGCAGGCGUGGGGGGCUGCGCUGAGCUCCAGGCCUCCUGCAGGUGCAAUAAGAAUCGUAUUACUAAUGUGGUGUCCUCUGGAAUGGUCACAUGAACACAGUUCCCUGCAGAUGUAAUUGGGAGAGAAGGCACAGUCCUGACACAGGCUGUGCCUUAACUUCCUCGAAAGACAACAUCAGUGCUGGCGGGCCUCAAGAAGAGCCAUCCCAAGGUAUUGACUAGGCAUCAGCGUCUUCACCAGGGCAACACAGAACAUCCCUGCAGAGUUCCUGGUGGCUGCAGUGGCUGGUAGGGGAUGUAUGCCUGCUUUCCAUCAGAUUCCCAAAGCGGAGCCCCUGGAGGCUUUGGCCCAUGGCCCUGAAGCUCCCUUUCACAAGGAAGAAAGACUUUGCAAAGCCAACACCACUAUUGGAGAGAAAGUGGAGAAUGUGUAUUAGAAGUACUAGUCUUUGAAGGCAAAACAGCUGUAUAGAGUGAGCUUAAGUGCUGGAUCCCUGUGGUUAGGAAGGGACACUAAGCCUCCGGGAUGUGAGAGUCCCAUGGAAGGCAGUAGGCCCAGGAUAAAGCAGGUGUCAGCUCAGAAAGCCCACCAUCACCCAGAAAAGGGAAGAAAUACGCUACCACCAUCACUCUUUCUGCCAAUGACUUCUUUGCACACCUCCACCCUAUCUCCUGGCUCAGUCUCCCAUGUUCUCAUAGCUAGGGAGGUCUCCAUUGUAAUUUGUAUGGGGAGGUUAACCUAUAGGCCAUUCUGAUGAUCCCAGCUCCCUUUCACUACAACCCCCGUCUGCAUCCUUUGCUUUGCAGUAGGAUUUGAGAGAGGAAGGAUGAAGAUGUAGCCACAGGAUACAUUUAAACAGGCACAGAGUUUGAGGGGUGGGGGGGAACAAAAGCAAAACAAUAAAACCUUCACCAGUCAUUAAAGAAAUGAAAAUGAACCUUU
Molecule: long non-coding RNA, 1016 nt
Filed under: Homo sapiens (human)
Lineage: Eukaryota; Metazoa; Chordata; Mammalia; Primates; Hominidae
Description: HSALNT0331659
Source: RNAcentral